GUGCCAGCCGCUGCGGUAAUACGUAGGUGGCAAGCGUUGUCCGGAUUUAUUGGGCGUAAAGGGAACGCAGGCGGUCUUUUAAGUCUGAUGUGAAAGCCUUCGGCUUAACCGAAGUCGGGCAUUGGAAACUGGGAGACUUGAGUGCAGAAGAGGAGAGUGGAACUCCAUGUGUAGCGGUGAAAUGCGUAGAUAUAUGGAAGAACACCAGUGGCGAAAGCGGCUCUCUGGUCUGUAACUGACGCUGAGGUUCGAAAGCGUGGGUAGCAAACAGGAUUAGAUACCCUGGUAGUCCACGCCGUAACGAUGAAUGCUAAGUGUUGGAGGUUUCCGCCCUUCAGUGCCGCAGCUAACGCAUUAAGCAUUCCGCCUGGGAGUACGAUCGCAAGAUUGAACUCAAAGGAAUUGACGGGGCCCGCACGAAGCGGUGGAGCAGUGUGGUUAAUUCGAAGCAACGCGAA
RNAcentral lists this ribosomal RNA (458 nucleotides) under uncultured Lactobacillus sp. RNAcentral describes it as "bacterial SSU rRNA". It matches the Rfam family "Bacterial small subunit ribosomal RNA", at positions 505 to 965 of the family's 1533-position model. Lineage: Bacteria; Bacillati; Bacillota; Bacilli; Lactobacillales; Lactobacillaceae. The record is from RNAcentral.